AGAGUUUGAUCCUGGCUCAGGAUGAACGCUGGCGGUAUGCCUUAUACAUGCAAGUCGUACGAGAGUUUUUAACUCUAGUGGCGGACGGGUGAGUAACACGUAAGAAUUUGCCUUUAGGAGGGGGACAACAACUGGAAACGGUUGCUAAUACCCCAUAUGCUUUCGAGUGAAAUGGAUUUCCGCCUAAAGAGAAGCUUGCGGCUGAUUAGCUUGUUGGUAGGGUAAUGGCCUACCAAGGCGACGAUCAGUAUCUGGUUUGAGAGGACGAUCAGACACACUGGAACUGAGACACGGUCAGACUCCUACGGGAGGCAGCAGUAGGGAAUUUUCCGCAAUGGGCGAAAGCCUGACGGAGCAAUACCGCGUGAGGGAUGACUGCCUAUGGGUUGUAAACCUCUUUUUUCAGGGAGGAAUAAAUGACGUGUACCUGAAGAAUAAGCAUCGGCUAACUCCGUGCCAGCAGCCGCGGUAAGACGGAGGAUGCAAGUGUUAUCCGGAAUCACUGGGCGUAAAGCGUCUGUAGGUGGCUCGACAAGUCAACUGUUAAAUCUUGAAGCUCAACUUCGAAAUCGCAGUCGAAACUAUCGAACUAGAGUAUAGUAGAGGUAAAGGGAAUUUCCAGUGGAGCGGUGAAAUGCGUAGAGAUUGGAAAGAACACCGAUGGCGAAGGCACUUACUGGGCUAUUACUGACACUCAGAGACGAAAGCUAGGGUAGCAAAUGGGAUUAGAUACCCCAGUAGUCCUAG
Molecule: ribosomal RNA, 747 nt
Filed under: uncultured bacterium
Lineage: Bacteria
Description: bacterial SSU rRNA
Rfam family: Bacterial small subunit ribosomal RNA
Source: RNAcentral